This 498-nucleotide ribosomal RNA is filed under the name uncultured bacterium. RNAcentral describes it as "partial 16S ribosomal RNA". It matches the Rfam family "Bacterial small subunit ribosomal RNA", at positions 30 to 523 of the family's 1533-position model. The record is from RNAcentral.
AUUGAACGCUGGCGGCAUGCCUUACACAUGCAAGUCGAACGGUAACAGGUCUUCGGAUGCUGACGAGUGGCGAACGGGUGAGUAAUACAUCGGAACGUGCCUAGUAGUGGGGGAGAACUACUCGAAAUAGUGGCUAAUACCGCAUGAGAUCUACGGAUGAAAGCAGGGGAUCGCAAGACCUUGUGAUACUAGAGAGGCAGAUGGCAGAUUAGGUAGUUGGUGGGAUAAAAGCUUACCAAGCCGACGAUAUGUAGCUGGUCUGAGAGGACGAUCAGCCACACUGGGACUGAGACACGGCCCAGACUCCUACGGGAGGCAGCAGUGGGGAAUUUUGGACAAUGGGCGCAAGCCUGAUCCAGCAAUGCCGCGUGCAGGAUGAAGGCCUUCGGGUUGUAAACUGCUUUUGUACGGAACGAAAAGCCCCGGGUUAAUACCCUGGGGUCAUGACGGUACCGUAAGAAUAAGCACCGGCUAACUACGUGCCAGCAGCCGCCGUAA